CCUACGGGGUGCAGCAGUGGGGAAUAUUGGACAAUGGGCGAAAGCCUGAUCCAGCCAUGCCGCGUGUGUGAAGAAGGCCUUCGGGUUGUAAAGCACUUUCAGUGGGGAAGAAAGCCUUGGGGCUAAUACCCUCGAGGAAGGACAUCACCCACAGAAGAAGCACCGGCUAACUCCGUGCCAGCAGCCGCGGUAAUACGGAGGGUGCGAGCGUUAAUCGGAAUUACUGGGCGUAAAGCGCGCGUAGGCGGUCUGAUAAGCCGGUUGUGAAAGCCCCGGGCUCAACCUGGGAACGGCAUCCGGAACUGUCAGGCUAGAGUGCAGGAGAGGAAGGUAGAAUUCCCGGUGUAGCGGUGAAAUGCGUAGAGAUCGGGAGGAAUACCAGUGGCGAAGGCGGCCUUCUGGAAUGACACUGACGCUGAGGUGCGAAAGCGUGGGUAGCAAACAGGAUUAGAUACCCGGGUAGUC
Molecule: ribosomal RNA, 465 nt
Filed under: Vreelandella stevensii
Lineage: Bacteria; Pseudomonadati; Pseudomonadota; Gammaproteobacteria; Oceanospirillales; Halomonadaceae
Description: partial 16S ribosomal RNA
Rfam family: Bacterial small subunit ribosomal RNA
Source: RNAcentral